RNAcentral lists this transfer RNA (86 nucleotides) under Echinostoma caproni. It matches the Rfam family "tRNA". Rfam says of the family: Transfer RNA (tRNA) molecules are approximately 80 nucleotides in length. Their secondary structure includes four short double-helical elements and three loops (D, anti-codon, and T loops). Further hydrogen bonds mediate the characteristic L-shaped molecular structure. tRNAs have two regions of fundamental functional importance: the anti-codon, which is responsible for specific mRNA codon recognition, and the 3' end, to which the tRNAs corresponding amino acid is attached (by aminoacyl-tRNA synthetases). tRNAs cope with the degeneracy of the genetic code in two manners: having more than one tRNA (with a specific anti-codon) for a particular amino acid; and 'wobble' base-pairing, i.e. permitting non-standard base-pairing at the 3rd anti-codon position. Lineage: Eukaryota; Metazoa; Platyhelminthes; Trematoda; Plagiorchiida; Echinostomatidae. The record is from Rfam by way of RNAcentral.
GGCCUCGUAGCCUAGCUGGUAGAGCGUGCGCUGCACGAGAACUCAAGCGGUGUCCAUGCACGUGGGUUCAAGUCCCACCGAGGCUA